CAAGCAUCAGCAGUGUGUGAUACAAUAGUGCUUUGAAAACUGCGUCGGAGCCUCGGUAUCAUCCGUCCCAUCACUAGAAAACAGCAACGAUUUAAGAUGACUGGAGCAAAAGACAGAAUGAGAGAAAAAAAGAUGAAGAAUCAGCCGAGAAACGUAAUUUACACGAGCUCAGGUCGCGGUACCGGGAGAGGUCAGAGGUCAUCAGCCUGGGGGUCACAGUUACAGUCAAGAUCUGCCCAAAUACAUCACAGCCUCGUCCUUCGCUAAAGCGCGCGCCGCUGAAGUGAACGCUGUGCUGAAGGCCGUCAGUAACGCUGCAGGCAGCUGCCACAUCUCCACCGCUCUGCUGAAGCACAUGCGCAGACGAGCCCUGAGCCCCAGCACCAAGAGACUGCUGAGCCUGGUGCUGAGAAACCCACCGGAGUCCAGCAGAACCUGACUGAACACACGACACAGGCUCGCAUCCAUCAC
Molecule: long non-coding RNA, 471 nt
Organism: Sinocyclocheilus rhinocerous
Lineage: Eukaryota; Metazoa; Chordata; Actinopteri; Cypriniformes; Cyprinidae
Exons: 4
Source: RefSeq, a predicted model, not a curated record